GGUCUUGUAUUUAAUAAUAAUAUUAAAUUGCAAAUUUAAAGGUGAUAAAAAUAAAUCUAAGGCUU
Molecule: transfer RNA, 65 nt
Filed under: Magicicada septendecim (seventeen-year cicada)
Lineage: Eukaryota; Metazoa; Arthropoda; Insecta; Hemiptera; Cicadidae
Also listed under: 2 other names
Description: tRNA-Cys
Source: RNAcentral